This 440-nucleotide ribosomal RNA is filed under the name uncultured bacterium. Its description in RNAcentral is "partial 16S ribosomal RNA". It matches the Rfam family "Bacterial small subunit ribosomal RNA", at positions 338 to 795 of the family's 1533-position model. The record is from RNAcentral.
CCUACGGGUGGCAGCAGUGGGGAAUAUUGCACAAUGGGGGAAACCCUGAUGCAGCGACGCCGCGUGAGUGAAGAAGUCUUUCGGUAUGUAAAGCUCUGUCAACAAGGAAGAAAAUGACGGUACCUGACCAAGAAGCCCCGGCUAACUACGUGCCAGCAGCCGCGGUAAUACGUAGGGGGCAAGCGUUAUCCGGAUUUACUGGGUGUAAGGGGAGCGUAUACGGCUGGUCAAGUCAGGAGUGAAAGGCGGGGGCUCAACCCUCGGACUGCCAUGGAUACUGCCAGGCUGGAGUGCAGGAGAGGUAAGUGGAAUUCGUAGUGUAGCGGUGAAAUGCGUAGAUAUCAGGAGGAACACCAGUGGCGAAGGCGGCUUACUGGACUGUAACUGACGUUGAGGCUCGAAAGUGUGGGGAGCAAACAGGAUUAGAUACCCGAGUAGUC